GAUGAAUGGUGUAGGUGACCAGACUAAGGUUAGCUUUGUUUACCUAGUGGCUGUGACCCUAGGCACUAUGGUUGUCCAGGGGAUGAGGGUGCAGCCAGUUGGUAUGACAUCAUCAGACAUUGAUACAGGGCUGAUGUAGAUGUCUGCGGGCACCUUGUCGGUCCAGAACAGUCUGUCACGUCUUAGGUGUAGGAUCUACAGCUUCUAACUUUAAAACCAAACAUGGAUUCUCCUGCUGAAAAAGACUCCAAUUCAACAGACUCGUCAAAAGACUCCAAAGAGAAUACAAAGGACAGGAAAGGUUCCUCAAGCAGUGACAGUACUGAGGCACAUGGUGCAUCUCCUCAGCCAAAACCCACCAAAUCAAGUGUUGAGCCUAAGACAAAUGGUAACCAUACAACUCCAAAACGAGAUCUGACAGCACCAACAAAGAGUAGCUCGGCGAAGGUGAAACCUGUAGCUCCAAAGAAGCCAUUACCGACACCUCACAAAACUGAACCUGUUAAAAAGACUGAGAAAUCAUUGAAAAACGGCUCGGGUAAAAAGAAAACAAGCUCGUCAGAAUCUUUACAGGAAUCUGAGUCCAAGUCAAACAAGGAGAAGACCAUUCCACCAGAGGACAAAGUGGUGGACGACGUGUCAGUCAAUGGUAAAACACAGAAGUCUGCUCCGAAGUCAGACUCUCUCAGUCCUCAAAAGUCGACUCCACCAGCAGACGCAACAAGUUCUCAAACCAGUUCUACCAAUGAUGACCGCCCAGGUGACCAUUCAAUAACACCUGGAGAAACAGUCGACCAAUCAGUAGCCUCCUCUCAUCACCCCUCUGUUGCUGCCGCUGAUACCACACGCAGUAUGGCUUCCUGUGACCCUCACACCAUUGCUGGCAUCAACCCAGAGACUACUGAACGCAUGAUAAUUAGUAAGGGCAAGGUCAAGUACAUCAACUUAAUCUACAAGAAGGUUGAGGCCAAGAUUUAUGACUACAAGUGUGACGUUAAACUCCUGGUUGGGAAGGAACAUUUCCGUGCUCAUCGAGAUGUUCUUUCAGAUGCGAGUGACUAUUUUGGUGCAAUGUUCUCGCACGAUAUGAAGGAGAAAGGACAGGACACUAUAGAACUGAAGGAAAUCAGUCCCAAGGGCAUUACUGUGAUGCUUGACUACUUUUACCAUGGAUACAUCACCGUGGAUACCACUAACAUUGAAGACAUCAUAGAAGCUGCACGCUUCUUCCAUGUCGAGUGGAUAUUGGAGGUUAGCUGUGAUUUUCUGGUCCAGUGUAUGAGCAUUGUAAACUACCCUGCCGUUCUCACAAUGACCGAUAAAUACACUCUUGGUGACCUGCGAUAUGAAAUCCUUGUGUUUUUCAGCCGUAAUCUAGAAGCCUUGUCUAAGGAAGAUGACUUUUAUACAAAUUUGCCUUAUGAACUUUUGUUACAGUUUCUCAUGGAUGAUAUCUAUAUUGAAUGCUCUGAAUAUUUCUUGGUUCAGAACUUGUUGAAGUGGUUGGCAGUAGAUCCAGUUGGGCGUAAGGACCAGUUUCAAUCCCUUGUGAGGCAAAUCCGCUUCUUUCUGAUGGAGGCGGAAGAAUUGGAGGCACUCCCUGAGGAUGUGACCAAAAUUGCAGGGUUGAAGGAGGAGAUUAAAGAAGCCAUUAAUCACAAUCUCAACAUCAUGGGUCAGUGUCUUAAAUGUGGAGAGAAGUACAUCCCCAGGGGCUGUAGAUCUGUUGCCACCAUCUUUUCCUUCUCAGAAGAAGGUUAUUUCAUUAUUUACCGAGAUCCAUCCAAGCCUGGCCUCACCAUGGAACAACUUGGACCCUGUGGAUUGGACACCACAGACUACCAGGCAAUGUCACAAGCAAAGAUUGGUAACUUCCUGUAUGCAGCUGGGGGUUAUGAUGAAAACUUCUCAAGUACGCCCCGAAUGUUUCGGUUUGAUCCCCGUUUCAGGGAUUGGACGGAGGUAGCUCCCAUGAAUGAACCCCGUGUCUCUUUCUGCCUGUGUAGUUCUGACCAUGACUUGUUUGCUGUUGGAGGUGUUCAUCGUGUUCACAUUGAUGAUGACAAUGAACCGGAGACUAUCCUUGACUCAGUAGAGAUAUACUGUCCACAAGACAACCAGUGGACCAACACGACCCCCAUGCCCAUCAAGGUGUUCGACAUGGCUGCAGCCUAUUACAACGGCUCUCUGUAUGUCUGUGGCGGCAUUAGUGCUGACCCACACCACCCCUGUCCCUUGGGGGCAGUCUAUAGUCUCAAGGUAGGUGGUGAUGAUGGGUGGGUCAAGCGUACAGACAUGAUAACUCGUCGUCAAGGACACAGUCUAACUCCCUACAAAGGAAAACUCUAUGCCAUAGGAGGUUACAGCAUGCCUGAAACUCAUUUCAGUGAGUGUUACGAGAAUGAAGUGUACGACAUAGAAACCAAUCAAUGGACUCAGUUUACCCCCAUACCGAUCGAGUACGGCCACCUGUAUCGUCAUAAUGGCAUCCUGAACGGGGUCAUCUUCUUUCUUGGAGGAGACACCCCUGAAGCAUUUCUGUACAUGUAUGACAUAGACGCUGACCAGUGGGAGGAGGUAGAACAUGUGGGAAGUAACGUCCAGAAACUCGCAGUGCUGGAUGUGGCUUACCCAUAAACCAACACUAGACGUCAUGGCAUGAGAGUCCACCCAGUAUCGCUACUAAUACUGUACAGUUGAUCCACUCACACCAAUAUGAAUACAUACGUGUUACCUACCCUGCCAUUCCAGCUAGGGGUGCUCCUACUGUAGGAGGGAACUUACAGUACAAGACAAGACAUGACAAGACAAGACAUGGCAGUUGAAUGAAUAUCCAGAAACUAGUCGCGCUGGAUGUGGCUUAUCGAUAAACCCACACCUGUCAUCAUUUCAACAAAUGGAGAGCUCUUUUGUUUUUAUCUACAAGACCUUCUUGUCAGCAAUUUUAAUGUCUUCUCAAAAUGGCAUUCAGUAUGCAAUGCAAUGGCGUAAAAGUGACAACUUUUUUGGUCUGAUUGAUUCUGUAUACAAGAAAAUGCUGUAAAGUAUUUGGAUCUGACUGGUUAGCAUUGAUAGUCUCUAUUAGCUUAUGGCUUUUUCUGCACAAAUAAAAAUUGAGUUUUAUAUACAAAUUACACUGCUAAAGGGCCUGUCACACACUGCUGAUGUACCUCACGGGGACUAAACCGGAGCAAAAUAUUAACAGCGAGAAAACUAACGAUGAACUACCGAUCUUAUCGAUGUGGUACCAUUGCGCUGCGCUACUAGUACCAAUUCCGGGAAAUCACCAAACUUGUGCUCCGGUAUAGCUCCGGCAACCAAAUCGGCUAGUUGUGACAGGGCCUUAAAUGAUAAAAUAUCUGCCAGACAAUUGCCAUAUUAACUUAUAAACUGUAGGUUAGGAUAAAACAUCUUAGUAGUUGUAUACAGAUAUGCUAAGUAAACUAAUAUCUAUAAAUUCUGUCUAUUAUCUUUCAAACCAUCUAAUACAGCUAUAUCUUUUAUGGACAGGAAAGAUUGUAUGGGAGGAUUGUAAGGCUAGACAGUGUACGUUUGUGUUUUGCGAGUCACUGGCAUGGCUCGUAUCUAUAGUCAUAAGUCUAACAGGUUGUUACACCUCAAGCCAUUUUUGUUUUUGUGUGGAAGCUUUCUGUAAGCUUGUAUGUGUGACUGAGAGGUUGAGUUCAACUUUGUUCAUCUGAAAAAUUGAGAUGUUUCCUACCAUUAGGGUUCUAUCCCUCCAGUCACCUGGGUUUAGUCACGGACUAUCUACAGUAAAUGUGUCAGUCUGGAGAUCUCUGACUGUGAUGGCCUUUCCUUUCUGUCAAGUUAAAUGCAUAUUCAAUGUUAUCUGAAUUUAUAUAAAUGUACAAUGUAUGUUUUAAGAAUCUAUACCCAAUAUUUUUGUAUGGUUUAUACUUCUGUAUACACUGUUUGUUUAAAACAUCUAUAAACAAUGUUUUUGUUUUAAACAACAGUUGAUAGCUUUUGCCUUCCACAUCAUUAUACAAUGUAUGUUUUCAAACAGCUAUUGAGUUAACAAAGUAUGUUUACAACAACUAGCUACAAUGUAUGUUUACAACAACAAGUUACAAUGUAUGUUUACAACAACUAGCUACAAUGUAUGUUUACAACAACAAGUUACAAUGUAUGUUUUCUACAGUGUUUAGUUUCAAAAUACAAAAACUGUACCUGCAUGUGGUUUAACAUUCGUUAGAUAUGCUAAUGUUUUUAACAUCGGUAUAAAUGUUAAUUUCAAAUUGUAAUAAACUAGUCCAGAUUUUUAACAUCCACUACAACUCACAUUCUGUUAAAUAUUGUCAAAUAACAUAAAAGUGUAUGAGCUAACAUGUGCUACAGUUAAUUAGUUGUUAUUUUUGCUCAAUUUUCAUUGGACGAAAGAUAUUGUAAGAGAUUUAUUAUUAAGCAAUUUUUGAAGCAAAUGCAAUAUAGGGUUGAUAAGUAAGGAGUUGAUGUAUAGAAUGUCUGUGCCAACAGAGAUGUGUCUGUUAGAUGGCUUAACUCGAACAAUUUUAUGAGUUCAAAGUUUCAUUUCCAAAAAUGUAUGACCACCACAAGGUAUUUCAACCCAAUGUAUCAUCAUUAAAAACUGAGUUCAGUCAUAUGUAUGAAUGUUUGCUUGCUUUACAUGUAGAAUCUCGUCGCAUUUUAUUUUAGAUGUAUUUUAUUAACCGUUUAUAAAUGCGUUCACCUUUUAGUUCACGUUUAUUCCAAUGCUAAUGCUUUUUAGUUGGUACAUAUAUUUAUGUAAAUUAGUAUUAAUUUUGAUUUUAGCUGUACUUUAACUUCCUGUUGAUACAUAAAGAAUAUACAUGAUUAUUGAUUUACAUUCCAUGCCUUUAACAUGAAGAUGUACAUGCAAUCUGUAUGAUUUAGCUUUUGUUCGAGUUGUUGAUUGUUGUGGAGGGAUCAAUAUAUAUUUGUAUAUUUACCAGACAGAACAAAAAAUGUAUGUUAUUUUUAGUAAGUAAGACAAGUAUAUACAAUAAAACGUGUUUAUAACUUUGAAGUCUUAGGGUAAUGAUCACAAAUCUAAAACGUCAUGUCCUACACCGUUGUGUUGAUCACUUUUUGGAUUGUUGUAUCAAUUAUCAAUAAAAAAAUCCCGUUUCUAUAGUCCUGUCAUUCUGAUAUUUCCUUGGAUUUCAAAACUUUUGAAUGAGUAAUGUCCCUCAAUAAAAAUAAAAGCCUGUUAUCAGAAUCAUGUUAUAAACCUGUUUUACUGUACUGUAUGUAGGUUGUGAAAUGGAUAAUCAUGUUUGGAGUGUACACUAAUUAUCUGCAAGAGUUUAUCCUCAUUUCUUGGUGUUUAACGUAGUUCUCACAAAAAUGUCCUUUAUAUAAACUAAAUCUUGCCAAUUGUGUUUCUGCGUUUCCUAUUUUCUUUAUUGUUUUCUAUCUACGGUAUAGUGAUUAUAAAAAUGUAUUUAUGUACAUUAUAUUAAUGCUGUGUAUUUGAUACACUAAUCAAACAUUUUCUUUGAACAUUUCACUUGUGCAGAUUAUCAUUUAUAUAUUGUUUGGCAAUUUAUUGUCCGUUUAUUCUUGAAAUUCCACACUUCAGUGAAAUUGAUUUUCAAGUAGACCACCACACGGGGUGGUCAGAUUGUAUAGACAUUGUCUAGUGGACCACCACACGGGGUGGUCAGAUUGUAUAGACAUUGUCUAGUAGACCACCACACUGGGUGGUCAGAUUGUAUAGACAUUGUCUAGUAGACCACCACACGGGGUGGUCAGAUUGUAUAGACAUUGUCUAGUAGACCACCACACUUGAUGAUCUGAUUGUAUAGACAUUGUCUAGUAGACCACCACACUGGGUGGUCAGAUUGUAUAGACAUUGUCUAGUAGACCAUCACACUUGAUGAUCUGAUUGCAUAGACAUUGUCUAGUAGACCAUCACACUUGAUUAUCUGAUUGUAUAGACAUUGUCUAGUAGACCAUCGCACUUGAUGAUCUGAUUGUAUAGACAUUGUCUAGUUGACCAUCACACUUGAUGAUCUGAUUGUAUAGCCAUUGUCUAGUAGACCAUCACCCUUGAUGAUCUGAUUGUAUAGACAUUGUCUAGUAGACCAUCACACUUGAUUAUCAGAUUGCAAAGUUGAUAGUUCAUUCACCUUUCACCAAGUUGGCCUUGGUUCAAUUCCUUGAUAUGACUUUGGUCACCUACUUUAUGGCGUUGGUUAUUUUUGUUCUAGGUAAUCCAGUUUCCUCCUACAUUUACUCUUUUUGAGCUUUCAUUCAAGCCAUCGAAAGUGAUUAAUAUAUAUAAAUUUGAAAAAUUUGAUUCAUGAUUGUUGUAAAAUAAAUAAAGCUUAUGUCUUUAUUUGUAGUAGAUCACUGUCAUGGUACAAUGUCCAGAAGACCAUCGGACAGAAGUGACUAUUUUCACCAAAGCACCCAGAGAAUUUGUUCCGGGAAAAUAGCUUGACACUGUAAAAUUAAAGCACUGUACGUUUCAUGUCUCUGUGGAGAUAAAUAUCAGUUGAUAUCUGACAAUGUAUUACUACAGAAUGACCUACCUUUACCUGUUUGUAGCCUCGAAAAUUACACCAGAGAGGAGGCUGGUAAAUGUUCUAUCUGUGUACUGUGUGGUUUAUAUGUUGUAUUUACUUCUAAUUAAUUAUGUAAGUGCCUGACAGAGCAAAAAUGUCUAGAAAAAGUGGUAGGGAAAGUCUCUUUGCCCUUCAAGCAGUUGUCUGUAAGGAGGUGGAGUCUCUUUGCCCUUAAAGCAGUUGUCUGUAAGGAGGUGGAGUCUCCUUGCCCUUAAAGCAGUUGUCUGUGAGGAGGUGCUAGUGGCCAGGUACAGAAAGGUUUGGUCGGUUUGUGCUGUACGUCCAUUUAACAUCUAUGGUCGUUUAAGGACAAGCAAGGUUUUGGUGGUAGAGGAAAACCAGAGUACCUGGAGAAACUCCACCAACCUGUGGCCAGUACCUGGAGAAACUCCAUCAACCUGUGGCCAGUACGUGGAGUUUCUCCACCAACCUGUGGCCAGUACCUGGAGAACUCCACCAACCUGUGGCCAGUACCUGGAGAAACUCCACCAACCUGUGGCCAGUACCUGAUGACUGCCCCUCUUUGGCUACCACAUACCCAAAAGACUGCUGAGGGUUGAAUGUACAAUGAAGGCAGGGAAUGAUUAUUUUUCUCCCACCCUUAAAAAGGAUGAUUAGACGAAAAAUAAUACUUUCUUUGUAUGCCAACUGCUCAUGAUCAGCUUGAUGAAAUCACAUGAUGAAAUGUUUUCAUGGUGAUACCACAAGCAUGUAUAGCUCGUCUAUACCCGGGGGGGGGGGGGGGGGGGGGAAAAAAAANUCACUAGAGUGAGAGUCAUAUCGAUGAAGAGUAGGAAAAUCAAACUUUAUUAGUACUACAGAUUAACUCAUUCACCCCUGAAGACACAUUUGAACUCUUCCAAUUCAAAGGUUGGAAUAGUCCAUUAUGAUAUUUUCAGAGGUGAAUGAGUUGAUGACAUGUUGUUAUACAGCUAGAGCUGAAAUGAUUUUGGUAUCCAAACAUUUGUUGUAUUCGUAUAAUACAAAUUGGCCUGUCGGACAUCUCCGCAGUCCUAAGGCAGAUGUUUAGAAGACUUGCAUUACCAGAUAGACAUCGACAGUGUUCCAAGUGCAAUUGAUGAGAAACACAACCUAAGAAUGAGAUUAAGACUGGACCUCCUGUCCUGCAGUGUUUGCCUUACAUUGUCUGUAUUAUUAAAUCAGUGAUAUAAAUGUACAUCACAUAUAUUUUAUUUAAAGCCUGAUUUGCUUAAAAAAUAAACUUAUACAAAAGCU
This 7808-nucleotide unclassified non-coding RNA is filed under the name Mizuhopecten yessoensis (Yesso scallop). RNAcentral's name for it is "kelch-like protein 26, transcript variant X3". The record is from RNAcentral. Lineage: Eukaryota; Metazoa; Mollusca; Bivalvia; Pectinida; Pectinidae.